AUAGACGUAGGCUAGAGGUUAGUCACACCGUUUGGGGCGGUGUUCACGCUGGUUCGAGUCCAGCCGUCUGUACCA
RNAcentral lists this transfer RNA (75 nucleotides) under Bacillus toyonensis. RNAcentral's name for it is "tRNA-Pro". It matches the Rfam family "tRNA". Rfam says of the family: Transfer RNA (tRNA) molecules are approximately 80 nucleotides in length. Their secondary structure includes four short double-helical elements and three loops (D, anti-codon, and T loops). Further hydrogen bonds mediate the characteristic L-shaped molecular structure. tRNAs have two regions of fundamental functional importance: the anti-codon, which is responsible for specific mRNA codon recognition, and the 3' end, to which the tRNAs corresponding amino acid is attached (by aminoacyl-tRNA synthetases). tRNAs cope with the degeneracy of the genetic code in two manners: having more than one tRNA (with a specific anti-codon) for a particular amino acid; and 'wobble' base-pairing, i.e. permitting non-standard base-pairing at the 3rd anti-codon position. The record is from RNAcentral. Lineage: Bacteria; Bacillati; Bacillota; Bacilli; Caryophanales; Bacillaceae.